This 406-nucleotide ribosomal RNA is filed under the name uncultured bacterium. Its description in RNAcentral is "partial 16S ribosomal RNA". It matches the Rfam family "Bacterial small subunit ribosomal RNA", at positions 28 to 526 of the family's 1533-position model. The record is from RNAcentral.
GACGAACGCUGGCGGCGUGCCUAAUACAUGCAAGUAGAACGAGUUGCGAACGGGUGAGUAACGCGUGGUAACCUUCCUCAUCGCGGGGGAUAACUGUUGGAAACGCUAGCUAAUACCGCAUACAAUCGGAUUUGCCCCGAUGGGAUUAGCUAGUAGGUGGGGUAUCGGCGCACCUAGGCGACGAUCCCUAGAUGGUCUGAGAGGAUGACCAGCAACACUGGAACUGAGACACGGUCCAGACUCCUACGGUAGGCAGCAGUGGGGAAUAUUGACCAAUGGGCGCAAGCCUGAUGCAGCCAUGCCGCGGGUAUGAAGAAGGCUUUCGGGUUGUAAAGUACUUUCAGCGAGGAGGCGUUACUCGCAGAAGAAGCACCGGCUAACUCCGUGCCAGCAGCCGCGGUAAUUC